ACACAGCCCAUUUGUUUGUAAGCUUAUCUCCAAAUCGCACAGCCUCAUCCGCUCGUGUCGUCCGAGCAGACCACUCAUCAUCCCGUCAUCCGUCAUGGCGGCCUCCUCCUUCCUCAGGCCACUCCUCCCUCCCCAACCCCUCCUCUCCGCCCGCAGACCCCACCUCCCCGCUGCUCCCACCACGAGCACCACCACCGUACGCUGCACUGCCGCGCCCAAACCGGCCACCUCGACGCCGAAACCCAGCCAGGAAGAGGCCAACAGCCGAGCACUACAGCAAGUAGAACCCACUCCGGACGAGGCGAACGGCAACCCGAACAGCAUCCCCGACUCGGAGACCCCGGUGUCGGCG
This 352-nucleotide long non-coding RNA is filed under the name Sorghum bicolor (sorghum). Its description in RNAcentral is "long non-coding RNA (SBIC_LNC005613)". Lineage: Eukaryota; Viridiplantae; Streptophyta; Magnoliopsida; Poales; Poaceae. The record is from RNAcentral.